GCGAGCACGGGAUUGGGCGGCCCCUCCCUCUCCAGUGAAAAUAUGUCCUAUCUCUUCUCUCCCCGUUCCUCUUCUCUGGCCGCCGCCUCCGCUUCCCUCCUCCCUCUCGGUCGCCUCGUCUCCUCCGCCGCCGCCACGUCCUCCUCCCCUGCCACCACCCUCUCCAUCCCUGCCUCUCCUCCUCCCCUGCCUCCGCGCACCCGGCAACACGGCCAGACCGAUGGAUGGGGUAGGCGAAGAGGAGUGGCAGAUCCGCCUCCUCUUGGGCGGUUGUGCUCUUCUUUGUUGAGAACUUGCCGCCUGUUGCGCCCGCGUCGCUGCCGUUCUUGCGCCGGUGCUGCUGCCGUGGACGGCUUGGCUUUGGCGCAAUCUCUGUUCUUUCUCACCCAUGCGACUGAUCUUCUAUCUGCUGCUGCCGCGCGCCGUGCUUCUGGAUCUAGGCGAGCAGGGCGGCAUGAUCUUCUUGGUGGGUGUGGAGGAUGAGGAGAAUGGCAGUGAGGGAAGUAACAGCGAGGCUGGAGUUCCAGACGGUGCUGGCCAUGGUACCUGUCCCCAAUCUAGGUUGCCAAUAUGCAGCCUCCUUGAUUUAUGGUUUUUUAAACACACAUAUGCAGACCUGAGGAAAAAGAGAAGAGGGUGAAUCUUGAUGAAAAGUUUGAACAAAGUUCGAAGAUAUAAAUCUAAUUGAUAUAUUGUCGAUGGGGAUUAAGUACUGUAAUGAUAUACCUGAGAAUUUUGAUGAUAUAUCUGCUACCAGGUUGAAUAUUGACCACAAAUUAAUUUUUGUGUGUGCUUCUGCUCAUUUAAGUGCAUAAUUUGGUCACAAACCUCCUGCUGUAGCUACGAAGUUCAUUGUGUGAUGCCUACAAGUUAUUGGUCUUAUUUUUGGUGUAAAGCUGCAGGCCGAGUUCAGGUUGUUCUUUUGACAGAAAUGGAACAGGUAAUGCUACAGCCUAAGCAUUGUAUAGUAUAAAUUCAAAGGUCAUGUAAUAUUUUACUUAGGUUCAUUCAAAUAUCUGGAAUUGACAUGCAUAUGUUUCUUGUAUGUGCACACAUUGUUGGUUGUAUCUUAAUAUGAGUUCUUUAUAUGUUGCUUGCCUAAAUUCAGAAGUGAACUUUUGCUGUAUAUUUGGUCGAUGUGUGUCCUGUAAACCGUAAACUUACUAGGUGUACAUGUACAUGCGUAUUUGUUACACUAUUAUCAUAUAUAACACUUCCAGAUCAGAAUAUACAGAUAUCUCCUUUUUACAUAAAUAAUCGUGAUUGUUCUCAUACAAUUUGGCAUUUCAAGAAUAUCGCAGCCACACAAGCUAAAGGUUCAGGAAGUUUAGGGAAAGAAAAGUUCUUAUUGACAAAGAUGGUGGUAUGGAUAAGUCCCUAUUCUCAUUGUCACUGGUACUUCAUUUUUCUUAUAUUUUGAUGCUUAUUUUUUCGUAUGUAGGUGAGUUUUAUCUGGUAUCACUUUUUGACAUGGACAUGUACCAUAUGAUUGUUGAGUUUCAUCUGAUUUCACUUUUUGACAUGGCCAUAUACCAUGGGGUAUAGUAUUUAUGAAGAGUGGCUUGGAAAUUGCAAGUAGAUGGUUACUCUAGCCGUAUAGCUUAUUUAAUUAGGAGUGAGAUGCUUGCUAAGAUGAAUGGUGUUUCUGUAAGGGCAGACAUAUUCCUAGCACUGGAUUAUGCACAUGUAUAUAUGGAUACUUCUGUACGAAUGCAGCUCACACUUACCACGGUCAGAAGAGUCUUGCAUGGAUAUAUCAUGUGAUGUGACACUGGAAUAAUUGGCCUGGAGUUCACCGGCGUGACCGAGCGCAGUGCAACGGAGCAGUUCAACACGUGUUUGCACAUGACUGCCAUGGAAGAGGAUCUUGCUGGAACGCUGCCGUUUCUUCAGUUUGGGAUUUUGUCAACAAUUCUGUAACCUUGAUUGCGCUGAGCAUAAGCAGGAUCUACGCAUUAUUCUGUUGACUUUGCUCACUCCCGAAAAGAAGAGGACUAUGGACCUGAGUGGGAAUGGAGGCAGGAUAUUCUUCUGGAUGGCUAUGCUGAGGUGGUGGUUGGUCGGAUCCAUGGUGUAGGCAAAGUUGGUCAGCAUGGUGGAGUUGUGCUGUGGGGAAGACCCUGGAUUAGAGAUCUGCGCGGCUAUCUGCGUGCUGGGUGGAUCAGUGUAGCCCACCUUGGGAUGGAGGCAAGCGGCGCUUCACUGGUGCCUCGCCAUGCCACAACAGUGGCCUUCACAAUGUUUAAUCAUAAGACCACUAUUUUUGUGUCUAUAUGCAGUGUUCACUUCGUCUAUAUCUUGGCAAUGUUUAAUCAUAAAACCACUAAUUUUGUGUCUAUAUGCAGUGUUCACUUUGUCUA
RNA transcript from Triticum aestivum (bread wheat), 2360 nucleotides. RefSeq lists it as uncharacterized. Lineage: Eukaryota; Viridiplantae; Streptophyta; Magnoliopsida; Poales; Poaceae. The record is from RefSeq and is a predicted model, not a curated record. The transcript is spliced from 3 exons.